Molecule: ribosomal RNA, 379 nt
Filed under: uncultured bacterium
Lineage: Bacteria
Description: bacterial SSU rRNA
Rfam family: Bacterial small subunit ribosomal RNA
Source: RNAcentral
GACGAACGCUGGCGGCGUGCUUAACACAUGCAAGUCGAGCGGUAAGGCCCUUUCGGGGGUACACGAGCGGCGAACGGGUGAGUAACACGUGGGUGACCUGCCCUCAGCUCUGGGAUAAGCCUGGGAAACCGGGGUCUAAUACUGGAUAUGACUCCAUGACGCAUGUUGGUGGGGUGGAAAGCCUUGUGCGGCUGAGGAUGGGCCCGCGGCCUAUCAGCUUGUUGGUGGGGUGANGGCCUACCAAGGCGACGACGGGUAGCCGGCCUGAGAGGGCGACCGGCCACACUGGGACUGAGACACGGCCCAGACUCCUACGGGAGGGCAGCAGGUGGGGAAUCUUGCGCAAUGGGCGAAAGCCUGACGCAGCGACGCCGCGUGA